Molecule: ribosomal RNA, 243 nt
Filed under: uncultured bacterium
Lineage: Bacteria
Description: partial small subunit ribosomal RNA
Rfam family: Bacterial small subunit ribosomal RNA
Source: RNAcentral
AGAAUCAACGCUGGCGGCGUGCCUAACACAUGCAAGUCGCACGAGAAAGGGUAGCAAUACCUGAGUAAAGUGGCGCACGGGUGAGUAACACGUGACUAACCUACCCUUGAGUGGGGAAUAACCUAGGGAAACCUGGGCUAAUACCGCAUAACACCUACGGGUCAAAGGAGCAAUUCGCUUAAGGAGGGGGUCGCGGCAGAUUAGCUAGUUGGCGGGGGUAAUGGCCCACCAAGGCAGUGAUCU